GAUGAACGCUGGCGGCGUGCCUAAUACAUGCAAGUCGAGCGAACAGAUGAGGAGCUUGCUCCUCUGACGUUAGCGGCGGACGGGUGAGUAACACGUGGAUAACCUACCUAUAAGACUGGGAUAACUUCGGGAAACCGGAGCUAAUACCGGAUAAUAUAUUGAACCGCAUGGUUCAAUAGUGAAAGACGGUUUUGCUGUCACUUAUAGAUGGAUCCGCGCCGCAUUAGCUAGUUGGUAAGGUAACGGCUUACCAAGGCAACGAUGCGUAGCCGACCUGAGAAGGUGAUCGGCCACACUGGAACUGAGACACGGUCCAGACUCCUACGGGAGGCAGCAGUAGGGAAUCUUCCGCAAUGGGCGAAAGCCUGACGGAGCAACGCCGCGUGAGUGAUGAAGGUCUUCGGACCGUAAAACUCUGUUAUUAGGGAAGAACAAAUGUGUAAGUAACUAUGCACGUCUUGACGGUACCUAAUCAGAAAGCCACGGCUAACUACGUG
This 497-nucleotide ribosomal RNA is filed under the name uncultured bacterium. RNAcentral describes it as "partial 16S ribosomal RNA". It matches the Rfam family "Bacterial small subunit ribosomal RNA", at positions 28 to 507 of the family's 1533-position model. The record is from RNAcentral.